AUGAACGCUGGCGGCGUGCCUAAUACAUGCAAGUCGAGCGAACGGACGAGAAGCUUGCUUCUCUGAUGUUAGCGGCGGACGGGUGAGUAGCACGUGGAUAACCUACCUAUAAGACUGGGAUAACUUCGGGAAACCGGAGCUAAUACCGGAUAAUAUUUUGAACCGCAUGGUUCAAAAGUGAAAGACGGUCUUGCUGUCACUUAUAGAUGGAUCCGCGCUGCAUUAGCUAGUUGGUAAGGUAACGGCUUACCAAGGCAACGAUGCAUAGCCGACCUGAGAGGGUGAUCGGCCACACUGGAACUGAGACACGGUCCAGACUCCUACGGGAGGCAGCAGUAGGGAAUCUUCCGCAAUGGGCGAAAGCCUGACGGAGCAACGCCGCGUGAGUGAUGAAGGUCUUCGGAUCGUAAAACUCUGUUAUUAGGGAAGAACAUAUGUGUAAGUAACUGUGCACAUCUUGACGGUACCUAAUCAGAAAGCCACGGCUAACUACGUG
This 496-nucleotide ribosomal RNA is filed under the name uncultured bacterium. Its description in RNAcentral is "partial 16S ribosomal RNA". It matches the Rfam family "Bacterial small subunit ribosomal RNA", at positions 29 to 507 of the family's 1533-position model. The record is from RNAcentral.